Molecule: transfer RNA, 73 nt
Filed under: Planctomycetia bacterium
Lineage: Bacteria; Pseudomonadati; Planctomycetota; Planctomycetia
Description: tRNA-Ala
Rfam family: tRNA
About the family: Transfer RNA (tRNA) molecules are approximately 80 nucleotides in length.
Source: RNAcentral
GGGGCGGUAGCUCAACCGGGAGAGCGCAAGCUUUGCAAGCUUGAGGUCGCCGGUUCGAUCCCGGUCCGCUCCA